GGCAAGGUGGCUCAGUGGUAGAGUGCUUGCCUUGCAUGCAUGAGGCCCUGGCUU
Molecule: transfer RNA, 54 nt
Filed under: Dipodomys ordii (Ord's kangaroo rat)
Lineage: Eukaryota; Metazoa; Chordata; Mammalia; Rodentia; Heteromyidae
Rfam family: tRNA
About the family: Transfer RNA (tRNA) molecules are approximately 80 nucleotides in length.
Source: Rfam by way of RNAcentral